Molecule: ribosomal RNA, 408 nt
Filed under: Levipalatum texanum
Lineage: Eukaryota; Metazoa; Nematoda; Chromadorea; Rhabditida; Diplogasteridae
Description: SSU rRNA
Rfam family: Eukaryotic small subunit ribosomal RNA
Source: RNAcentral
ACGGCUCAUUAAAACAGCUAUAAUCUCAUCGGAAUUGUUUCCUAAACGGAUAUCUGCGAUAAUUUUGGAGCUAAUACGUGCACUCAUCAGGUGCGUUCGCACCUGGCAUUUAUUAGACUAAGGCCAAUCGGGGCAACCCGUUCUGGUGAACUCUGAAUAACUUCGCGGAUCGCAUGGUCUUGCACCGGCGACAGUCCGAUCGAGUAUCUGCCUUAUCAACUUUCGAUGGGAGUUUAUUUGACUCCCAUGGUUGUGACGGGUAACGGAGGAUAAGGGUUCGACUCCGGAGAGGGAGCCUGAGAAACGGCUACCACAUCCAAGGAAGGCAGCAGGCGCGUAAAUUACCCACUCUCAAUUCGAGGAGGUAGUGACUAUCAAUAACGAGGCAGAUCUCUAUGAGGCCUGCUA